This 198-nucleotide ribosomal RNA is filed under the name uncultured Bacillus sp. RNAcentral's name for it is "partial 16S ribosomal RNA". It matches the Rfam family "Bacterial small subunit ribosomal RNA", at positions 335 to 524 of the family's 1533-position model. Lineage: Bacteria; Bacillati; Bacillota; Bacilli; Caryophanales; Bacillaceae. The record is from RNAcentral.
ACUCCUACGGGAGGCAGCAGUAGGGAAUCUUCCGCAAUGGACGAAAGUCUGACUGAGCAACGCCGCGUGAGUGAUCAAGGUUUUCGGAUUGUAAAGCUGUGUUGUUAGGGAAGAACAAGUACCGUUCGAAUAGGUGGGUACCUUGACGGUAACUAACCAGAAAGCCACGGCUAACUACGUGCCAGCAGCCGCGGUAAU